Molecule: long non-coding RNA, 1563 nt
Organism: Hemicordylus capensis (graceful crag lizard)
Lineage: Eukaryota; Metazoa; Chordata; Lepidosauria; Squamata; Cordylidae
Exons: 3
Source: RefSeq, a predicted model, not a curated record
GUAGGGAAUUGCAGAGAAAAGACUAGAAAGAGACAUGGAAAGGAAUGUCUUAAAAGUUGAAAAGCACCUGUAAGUUGAAAAAUGUAAGCUGUGAUGUGGAAAGAUAAAGAAACUGGGUCUCUAAGAUCCAACCACAGAUACGCAAAACUGUGAUCUGCGAGUCUGUGGAUACCGAGGGCCACCUGUAUUUCUUUGAAGGGUUCAGAUGCUUCAAACACACGAUCUCAAUUAUCCUCUCAACAAACCUAUAAGGAAUAAAUCCUUGGCGGUUAUUUAUCAUUCCCACAUGAAGAUGGAAGGAUUGUUGUGCCAAGACAACACAGCUACACCGAGAUGCUUGAGGGCUCAGAGUGAGGGCUGAAUAUUUCCUCAAGAGGUGGCAGCAGGCUGAUUUUCCAGCUACAAACGACUCAAAAUCUCAUGGUGAGACGUCAGUCAUUUUACUAAACAGCACGGCACUUGUUAUGAUUUCCUUAAUUUCAGCACACGUCAUAGUAAGAUAUUAUGAGGCACUUAGCUUGGUCUUUGUUCUAGUCAGCCAAUCACUAGGCACAGAGCUGGCUGUUCAUUUGAAUACCCAACAUUAUAUAAGAGUACAGCUAGAAUGAUGGCAUAGGCAAUUGCAGGCGGGCAGGCAAGCAGGCAGGCAAGCAAGCAAUCUUAGUGUAUGAAACAAUGGCUGCUGCUACACGGAAGUCAGUGCGCAGGAGACCACUGCGCAGGAGACCAUUGCGCAGAAGACCACUGCGCAGAAGACCACUGCGCAGGUUCCAGACCAGACGGAGAAAGCGUACAGACCGAAAGAAACGUAUAAGAUAUGUGCACAGCUGUCAGAAACAGAAGCGCACUCUUAGGGUUAGCAGCAAGUUGCCAGCAAAGCUGCCAGCUCACAAAAUCCGAAUGACCAGAGAUGCUUGGGGCAUGUUGCACUCCUAUGUAGAUGGCAUCUACAGAAAAGUGUCUGGGGAAGCCGAACGUCUAAGGAGAAAAGACCGACGCUCCUCCAUAAUAUCCUCAGAUGUGCAAAGUGCCUUGAAACAAGUCAUACCAAGAAAAUACAAUAGGCGUGCUGCCUACAGCAAGACCCGUUAGAAAGCUAUCCUUCCUUUCUCUAUGACUGGCUUCAGAUUAAGAACAGAAGAGAAGGAGAAAGGAAUGGAAUAAACACCAGCCUGAGACAAACUGAGAAAUCUUCCACCUGCCUAAAGUUCAAACAUGGCCUUCAAAUUGCCAAGGAAUCCUGUAAACUAUCUUUUUUGUUUAAUCAACCUCACUACCAACUAUUAUCUGAAGAAGAAGAUCCAAGAAAGAAUGAAUCCGUCACUACGACAACACUGGCAUCAUAAUAAAAAUCAACCUUCUAUUGAGUCACAAAGGUAUUUUCUAUUAUGCAUGAAAGUGACUAUCAAGCUAUGAAGUGCAAGAGACUUUUCAUCUUUGUGAAUCUGAGCCAGUGGAAAGAGAACACAGAUCAACCAUACUAAGACAUGAAAGGAGUGUGUGAGGCAUUUACUGGAGGGAACUGUAUUACCUUUUCCUUACAAUAAAACAGGAUUAGCAGGA